UUCCGGUUGAUCCCGCCGGACCCGACUGCUAUUUGGGUGAGAAUAAGCCAUGCGAGUUGAAUGGGAUACCUAAAGUUCCCAUAGCAAACUGCUCAGUAACACAUGAUCAACUUACCCUAUAGAGAAAAAUAACCUCGGGAAACUGAGGAUAAUAUUUCAUAAUUGAAUUGGCUUGGAAAAGUUUUUCAAUGAAAGGGAUAAAAAAAAUGGUUUUUAUCUGCUAUAGGAUAGGAUCGUGUUCGAUUAUGGUUGUUGGUGAGAUAAUGGCUCACCAAGCCGAUAAUCGAUAGGGGCCGUGAGAGCGGGAGCCCCGAGAUGGGUACUGAGACAACGACCCAGGCCUUACGAGGCGCAGCAGGCGCGGAACCUCCGCAAUACACGAAAGUGUGACGGGGUUACCCAAAGUGUUCAAUAGAACUGUGGUAGGUGAGUAAUGUCCCCUACUAGAAAGGAGAGGGCAAGGCUGGUGCCAGCCGCCGCGGUAAAACCAGCUCUUCAAGUGGUCGGGAUAAUUAUUGGGCUUAAAGUGUCCGUAGCCGGUUUAGUAAGUUCCUGGUAAAAUCGGGUAGCUUAACUAUCUGCAUGCUAGGAAUACUGCUAUACUAGAGGGCGGGAGAGGUCUGAGGUACUACAGGGGUAGGGGUGAAAUCUUAUAAUCCUUGUAGGACCACCAGUGGCGAAGGCGUCAGACUGGAACGCGCCUGACGGUGAGGGACGAAAGCCAGGGGAGCGAACCGGAUUAGAUACCCGGGUAGUCCUGGCCGUAAACGAUGCAUACUAGGUGAUGGUACGGCCAUGAGCCGUAUCAGUGCCGUAGGGAAACCGUUAAGUGUGCCGCCUGGGAAGUACGGUCGCAAGGCUAAAACUUAAAGGAAUUGGCGGGGGAGCACCACAAGGGGUGAAGCCUGCGGUUCAAUUGGAGUCAACGCCGGGAAUCACUAGUGCGGCCG
RNAcentral lists this ribosomal RNA (950 nucleotides) under uncultured archaeon. Its description in RNAcentral is "bacterial SSU rRNA". It matches the Rfam family "Archaeal small subunit ribosomal RNA", at positions 1 to 941 of the family's 1478-position model. The record is from RNAcentral.